AGUGAACGCUGGCGGCGUGCUUAACACAUGCAAGUCGAACGAGAACGGGAUAUAGCUUGCUAUAUUUGUCAGCUAAGUGGCGCACGGGUGAGUAAUGUAUAGAUAACAUGCCCUCUAGAAAGGAAUAACAGUUGGAAACGACUGCUAAUGCCCUAUAUGCCUUUAAUACAGAAGUAUGUAAGGGAAACGCUUUAGUGCUAGAGGAUGGGUCUGUAUGGUAUCAGCUUGUUGGUGAGGUAAUGGAUCACCAAGGCUAUGGCGCCUAACUGGUUUGAGAGGAUGAUCAGUCACACUGGAACUGAGACACGGUCCAGACUCCUACGGGAGGCAGCAGUGGGGAAUAUUGCACAAUGGACGAAAGUCUGAUGCAGCAACGCCGCGUGGAGGAUGACACAUUUCGGUGCGUAAACUCCUUUUAUAUAGGAAGAUAAUGACGGUACUAUAUGAAUAAGCACCGGCUAACUCCGUGCCAGCCGCCGCCGUAA
RNAcentral lists this ribosomal RNA (485 nucleotides) under uncultured bacterium. RNAcentral's name for it is "partial 16S ribosomal RNA". It matches the Rfam family "Bacterial small subunit ribosomal RNA", at positions 29 to 523 of the family's 1533-position model. The record is from RNAcentral.